GUGAGGAAUAUUGCGCAAUGGAGGCAACUCUGACGCAGCCAUGCCGCGUGCAGGAAGAAGGCGCUACGCAUUGUAAACUGCUUUUAACCGGGAAGAAACCCCAGGACGUGUCCUGGGUUGACGGUACCGGAGGAAUAAGCACCGGCUAACUUCGUGCCAGCAGCCGCGGUAAUACGAAGGGUGCAAGCGUUAUCCGGAUUCAUUGGGUUUAAAGGGUGCGUAGGCGGAGCGUUAAGUCAGUGGUGAAAUCCUGCAGCUUAACUGUAGACUUGCCAUUGAUACUGGCGCUCUUGAGUGCGCUUGAAGUGGGCGGAAUGUGCCGUGUAGCGGUGAAAUGCUUAGAUAUGGCACAGAACACCAAUUGCGAAGGCAGCUCACUAAGGCGAUACUGACGCUGAGGCACGAAAGCGUGGGGAUCGAACAGGAUUAGAUACCCUGGUAGUCC
Molecule: ribosomal RNA, 445 nt
Filed under: uncultured bacterium
Lineage: Bacteria
Description: partial 16S ribosomal RNA
Rfam family: Bacterial small subunit ribosomal RNA
Source: RNAcentral